This 563-nucleotide ribosomal RNA is filed under the name uncultured Gammaproteobacteria bacterium. Its description in RNAcentral is "partial 16S ribosomal RNA". Lineage: Bacteria; Pseudomonadati; Pseudomonadota; Gammaproteobacteria. The record is from RNAcentral.
GGGAGCUCUCCCUAUGGUCGACCUGCAGGCGGCCGCGAAUUCACUAGUGAUUAGAGUUUGAUCAUGGCUCAGCAGCCGCGGUAAUACGUGCUUUACAAUCCGAAGACCUUCUUCACACACGCGGCAUGGCUGGAUCAGGCUUUCGCCCAUUGUCCAAUAUUCCCCACUGCUGCCUCCCGUAGGAGUCUGGACCGUGUCUCAGUUCCAGUGUGACUGAUCAUCCUCUCAGACCAGUUACGGAUCGUCGCCUUGGUGAGCCAUUACCCCACCAACUAGCUAAUCCGACCUAGGCUCAUCUGAUAGCGCAAGGCCCGAAGGUCCCCUGCUUUCUCCCGUAGGACGUAUGCGGUAUUAGCGUCCGUUUCCGAACGUUAUCCCCCACUACCAGGCAGAUUCCUAGGCAUUACUCACCCGUCCGCCGCUCUCAAGAGAAGCAAGCUUCUCUCUACCGCUCGACUUGCAUGUGUUAGGCCUGCCGCCAGCGUUCAAUCUGAGCCAUGAUCAAACUCUAAUCGAAUUCCCGCGGCCGCCAUGGCGGCCGGGAGCAUGCGACGUCGGGCCCA